RNAcentral lists this ribosomal RNA (308 nucleotides) under uncultured eukaryote. RNAcentral's name for it is "partial large subunit ribosomal RNA". It matches the Rfam family "Eukaryotic large subunit ribosomal RNA", at positions 40 to 350 of the family's 3401-position model. The record is from RNAcentral.
AUAUCAAUAAGCGGAGGAAAAGAAACUAACAAGGAUUCCCCUAGUAACUGCGAGUGAAGCGGGAAAAGCUCAAAUUUAAAACCUGCCACCAGGCCGGAUUGUAAUCUAGAGAAGCGUUUUCGGUCGUUGCCUCGGACAAGUCCCUUGGAACAGGGCGUCAUAGAGGGUGAGAAUCCCGUACUUGCCGAGCUACCAACGUCUAUGUGAUGCGCUCUCGAAGAGUCGAGUUGUUUGGGAUUGCAGCUCAAAAUGGGUGGUAAAUUCCAUCUAAAGCUAAAUAUUGGCGAGAGACCGAUAGCGCACAAGUA